This is a long non-coding RNA of Stylophora pistillata, 948 nucleotides long. Lineage: Eukaryota; Metazoa; Cnidaria; Anthozoa; Scleractinia; Pocilloporidae. The record is from RefSeq and is a predicted model, not a curated record.
UUUAGUUUUCGUUGCAUGCGGCUUUUCGCAUUGGCUAAUAUAACUCUGUCCUGUUAAGGUCACUGUUACCUUCUACAGAUAAAUGUGAGAGUUAAUGGUGGAAUCCUCAAGACCAACAUAAUUGUCCUGCCAAGGUAAUAACUGUUUCAUUAGCCCUUUGACUAGCUGUUUAACAAGAUGGAUGUGAGCUAGUGAAUGGUUUCUUCAAAAUCAGGUGUUACACAGUGUGGUAUCUGAUUUGAAAUUAUCCUCUGUGUCAACAAUACUAUGAGGCCGAUUGAGAGGAUUGUCAUUCAUUGGUGACAUCUUGAUUGCCAUGCUUUCUUGCCUGAGAUCACUUAUGGAUGGCAUUGGGGGAAAAUGCUCCUGUUUCUUCAAAACAAUGGAUAUACUUUAUUUGUAUCGAUCCUCAGUCGAGAAUUCAUUAGACAGAAGCUUUGUCUUUCAAAUUUUCUCCAAAAAGAAGAAAAGAAUUAGGAAGAUGAGAAAAAAAAUCACUUGAUACUUUAUUUGAACACCUGUCCUGUCUCUCUACUGAAAGGCUGUUGAUUUAUACCUGGUAAAUCUUCAAGUUGUGUUGGUCUUGUUUACCUCCAAAUGUUGUGGUAAUUUUACCUCUACCAAUAACUUAAUGGCUCCUUCAGAUAUGAAGAGCUAGUGCAAAUGAAUUUCACUGGAAAUUUCUUGGUUGAACUUGUCUGUGAGGUUACAGUGUGUGACUUUCUUUGCCAUCUAUAAAAGUGGGGGUGUUAGCAGGUGAUUUUUCUGCUCCCACAUGACUACAGGUUAAACAUGUUAUAUUAGGAACUAGCUAAAAUUAUAGCAAAGUUUUAAACUGUGUUUUUUUUGUAUAUCUCUCCAUAAACUAUUUUUUUAUCAGGAGCCCUUGGACUCUUCAAUAGAGUCACAGAAUGAGGUAAAAAUAAAAUAAAAUUUACUUUGAACCAA